GCGGGCGUGUUGAAAUUGGUAGACAAGCCAGACUUAGGAUCUGGUGCCUUNNUUCGAGUCCCUUCGCCCGCACAA
RNAcentral lists this transfer RNA (75 nucleotides) under Rikenellaceae bacterium. RNAcentral's name for it is "tRNA-Leu". It matches the Rfam family "tRNA". Rfam says of the family: Transfer RNA (tRNA) molecules are approximately 80 nucleotides in length. Their secondary structure includes four short double-helical elements and three loops (D, anti-codon, and T loops). The record is from RNAcentral. Lineage: Bacteria; Pseudomonadati; Bacteroidota; Bacteroidia; Bacteroidales; Rikenellaceae.